ACAAAUGUUGAAGUAACUCAAGCAAGUAUAUAUGGUUAGGUUUGUUCAGUUUUGGCAGAAAUAAUGCAAAACUACCGGUCCUUGAUAAAAAUUCAAAACUAAGGAUAGGUUUCAGUUUGUUCUUGGUCAAUGUACAUUGGUUCUAUCGAAACUUUAAUUCAUGCAACAGAGUAUCUAACCAUGAUGUACCUUUCAUUUGCUUAUUCAUUGCAAAAGUGUAUACAGAUAAGGUAUAGAAGUCAUUGAGGUCCACUCCUUAGAUUGACUGCCAUUUUAUGUUUACUUCCUGGGGAUUGAAAAUUCUAUAUGUGGAUUAAUUUGAUGGCCAUUUUAUGUUUAGUCCCUAGCGUAUUCAUGUAUAUAAAGAACAUAGUUUGUUGUGUACAGAAUGAUGCCUGACUAUGUGUUCAGGGGAUAAAUGUAAAUGCUAUGUAUGAAGUAUGCACUAAACAUAAAAUAGCAUUUAUAGUGAACAUUAUUGUUAAACUCAAAAUGAUGCAUCGUUCGAACUGUGUAUGAUGUUGGUUGCAUAUUGACUAAAAAUUAUUUUCUUUAGUUUUAUAGGAGCUUUGUUGAAGACUUUAAAGACCUACAGUGGUAGAUUGGUGUCACCUGUCAACUUUUCAAUCACUGGAUUGGAUCCCAACACCAUGACAAUCAUUGUUCUUACUACUAGUUGGGAUGGAAUCUCACUAAAACCCCACUUAAGCCCUUGAAGGGGUUACCUUCAUAGGCCUUCAUUUGUUGGUAAAUUGACAAUUUUAUAAGGAUUUGAAGCUCUCCUAGAAAAAAAAUGAUGUGAAGUCCUCUAGAAAUGCUGGUUUAUAUUGCCUACAAGCAAUCUUUGUAGUUCAUCCUUUUCUUUCCGGCCAUUGUUCUGCCUCAACCACUUAUGCAAGGGUCUACUGGACCUUCUAAAUCUUCUCUUGAUUGUAUUUUGGAAUUUUUUGGUCCCCUUACAGGAUUUGGUGAUUAGCAGCAUGAUAGUAAGCCCAAAUUACCCUGACUUAACUCGAUCUUUGUUAAAACCUUCUCUUUGGCAUUUGAAUCCUCCAAUAUGCUAUCUUUAGCCUUACAAGCCAUUUUUGCCAACAUUUCCACUGCCAACUGUUGGUUUUGUUUGCCCUUUUCAGUUCCAUCUCUUUGCCUCUUUAGAGUAUGGCAAAUGAACAACAUGAUAGGUAUUUGCUUCAAUUUUCUCUAAAUCCAAUGGGAACAAUUUAAGCCCAAAAUUUUGUCCAUAUAUCUUUUUCUUGCUAUUUUUGCAUUAUUUUCUUCUAGCAACUUGUAACCUUGUUUAUAGUGUCCGUGAUGUAUGCGAAUUUG
Molecule: long non-coding RNA, 1326 nt
Filed under: Phoenix dactylifera (date palm)
Lineage: Eukaryota; Viridiplantae; Streptophyta; Magnoliopsida; Arecales; Arecaceae
Description: long non-coding RNA (PDAC_LNC004032)
Source: RNAcentral